RNAcentral lists this ribosomal RNA (253 nucleotides) under uncultured bacterium. Its description in RNAcentral is "partial 16S ribosomal RNA". It matches the Rfam family "Bacterial small subunit ribosomal RNA", at positions 524 to 776 of the family's 1533-position model. The record is from RNAcentral.
GACAGAGGUCCCAAGCGUUAGGCGGAAUCACUGGGCUUAAAGCGUGUGUAGGCGGACUUGUAAGUACCUUGUGAAAUCCCACGGCUCAACCGUGGAACUGCUGGGUAUACUGCGAGUCUUGAGCCACCUAGGGGCGAGCGGAACAAGUGGUGGAGCGGUGAAAUGCGUAGAUAUCAUUUGGAACGCCAAUGGUGAAAACAGGUAACUGGGAGUGUGCUGACGCUGAGACACGAAAGCCAGGGGAGCAAACGGG